AACUAACUAACUAACUAACUAACUAACUAACUAACUAACUAACUAACUAACUAACUAACUAACUAACUAACUAACUAACUAACUAACUCAACCAGCUACAACAGCAAAAUGCUGCUUACAGAUUGGUGCAUCAGGAUUAAUAAUCAAAUAUAGAAUAAUAGGCCAUGUCAAUCACAGGGGACAUUUUACUUUGAUACUUAGGUACAUUUUAUCGAUAAUACUUUUCUAAACUUUUAAAUAUGAUUUUGAAUGCAGGACUUCUACUUGUAGAGUAUUGUUACACUGUUGUAUUGGUACUUUUACUUAAGUAAAGGAUCUGAGUUCUUCUUCCACUGGUUAUGGGUGGGGAUGCUGGUGAUGUGUCUAUUAAUUAUUUUUAGUUUUAAAUAUUUCAGUUGUUUGUUUGUUUUUAGUUUUUAGUUUGGAAGAGAAUGUGUGUGUGUGUGUGUGUGUGUGUGUGUGUGUGUGUGUGUGUGUGACCUCUCAAAGGCGUUCUAGAAUCCAUUCUAGAAUCCAUGACUCAUCAGCAGCACAUAGUUCCCCACAUUCAGGAUCAAAGCACACAUCAGAAACUGCUGAAGACAGUACGCAUCCUAGAAAAUGGAAGAGCCACAAAAAAGUGCCGUAUCUCAAGAAGAUACACCAGAGGAUUGCCUACAGAAGCAAAUCAACUCUGAGGUCACCAUGGACCGAUCUCAAACAUCCCCGGAGUCUGCUGAUCCUUCUGCCUCUGGCUGUGAUUCGAUAACCGAGGCAGAAAGUGAGACCCAGCUCCGGUGGUUUGUGACCCUGCUGACGACGAGAGUGUUGACCAAGUGUCAUGCUCUCCAGAACCGCAGCCAGGAGGAGUGGGUCUCCCACAUCAGACACCUGGUAAACCAGACGAUGGAGGGACUCACUGUCACUGAAGGCUUCUGCCCGGAGGUGAAGAACACCAAGAGAGUCUGCAAGGCUGUGGUGAAGGACCUGCAGAAGAAGUUCUGCGGGAGGCGCCUGCUGGAGUCUGUAAUAGUAUUACAGGAUCCAGUUGUGGACGCAGCCAUCGUCCAGUCUUUGCAGGCUCAAAUCAAAGAAAUUUCUGCUCGGCUCGCAAAGAAAACUGCCUCCCGCAGUUCCUGGAAGGAUGUGCUCCGGUCCAUUGCUUUUGCCGCAGGUUUACUAGCUGUAUUUAUUUUAAUUGCACUCAUCCCAUAAAGCAGCACACCAGCAGCUGCAGGUGGAGGAGGUUUGCAACAUUGCAGUAAUGUCUGCUGUCAGUAGACUAUAGGGCCGCACAGUGGCUCAGUGGUUAACACUGUGGCCCCACAGAAUCAAGGUCAGGGUCACACCGGCGCUGACUCUUGUUGCUGUGUGGAGUUUCUCCCUGUGUCGGUGUGGGUUUACUCCGGGUGCUCCGGUUUCCUCCCACACUCUCAGUUUGGACAAUAAAAAUGUUUAACUGUAUUUCUGAUGUCUGAGGAACUUCUUCUUAAAUUAGAGUCAUAAGACAGACAAUGUGGAUUAGCUGACUUUGACACACACACACACACACACACACACACACACACACUAAAACAGGUUAUAAAUGUUUACAGAGGUUAUAUGGAUCCUAAUCAGACCCAAAUGUAACACGGGAUGGAUGGAUGAGGGAAAAAUCAUACAGAAAUAAAUAUAUAAAGAAAUAUAACUUAUAUUCUACAUUUAUUUCCUGUAUUCCUGCAUUUAGAUUUGGGCCCUGAUACAUCCUUUAACACUUGGGCAAAGAAACACACAUUUUACUAAUCAGUGCAAUUUUUCAUAUUUUAUUUAAUCAAUUAACGGUUGUAUUAUAUUUUCUGUAGAUUCUAUUAUCCAACAUGGAGGUUUAAAUGCUGUUUCAAAGUCUGCCAUGAAUAAACUUCUGGUGAAACUUCUACUUUAUAGGACUGGGUAUUGAACCAAAACACUUUCUGAGUACAAAACAAAAUGUGUCUGUAUCACCAAGUAUUAAAAAGUGUAAAGUACCGAAAGUUAGUAUCGAACGUCUGGCGAGAUUCUUAGUCUUAAACCAGGUGUUUUUCGGAGCAGCAGCUGGAGACUCAGAGGGGAACUGCUUCCUCCAGAUAUCUGAGCCAAACAGAUAUGAUGCAGAAGAAAGGAGCAACUAUAGAGGCUGAAAAAGUGCUCUUUGCUUAUGAGACAACAUUCAUUCAGGCUACUUAUAAGAUCUACAUGUAUUGUGUUUCUCAAAACAGAUACUGGCUACUUGUUUGAUUAUGAUGAGGAAAAUAAAGCCCUGAUACAGAAACAGGAGUGCUGUCCUCCGCAUUCACAAAAACACAAUUUUAUUCAAAAAGAAAAAGUGAAAGAGUAACCCCCCCCUCCCAAAAAAAGCCAGACUACCCUCCCUUCUCCAAAAAUAUUGAUACAUAUGAAAAAAUACUAUAAAAAAUGAGGAACAAAAUCCAUUCUGAUACAUUAUUCAAGAUACUGAUAGCAUGUGUGGUAAUGUUCUGUUUUUCUUUGUAAUUUAAGCAAUUUAACAAGUCAUGUUAAACGUUAAAAGUGUUUUAGUACAGACAUUUCUAAAUGAAAAAAAUCCAACAAUAUCUCACUGGAUAGGACAAACAUAUAUUUUACCUUUUGCUUUGUGAUCUUGACGUACCAAGUUUCUGAUGUUAAAAAAAUAUUUUAUACCUAUCAGAUUUUACAUGAAUCUUGUCAUUAUAUCAACUUCACAAUGUUUAAAAACCAACCAAAAUGGCUUUGAAAGGUUGUUUUCUUUUGAUCACUUAUGUGUUUUGGAUAGAAUGGAAAUUAGUUCCCAUGGUCAUUACCGUUAAAUAGAUGUGAAAUGGCUUUUGUAUUAAAACAGCAAUGCUUGGGACAGAGGGAAAAUAAAUACAGGCCAAACUAUCAGUUUACCAUACUUGCCAGACAUCAGCAACAACAGCAGAACCAAAAAGUUCUGCGCCCAAGAAUCUGUGUAUUAUUGUUCGGAGUUCUGUCAUCGGGGUGAGCUGAGGAGAUUUAUGCAUCUCGUUGCUCAAGAUGUUGUUGUCACAGCAGCUGAAAGGACGCACCUCUCAAGCCAGCAUGUCUGCACGAUCAACCAGGAAAAGCAGGCAGCUCACCUGGAGGACCAGACACAGGUGUCCCAAAAGCCCCAGGCACUUGAGUCCAAACACCUUCUUUAACCUGAAGAAGAAGAAUGAACACACAGAGCACCGGGUCAAGGUCUCGUCUCUUUGCCCAAAUGUUUUUCUUUUACUUCAUUCAUUGUUUAAUGAAUACAGUGAGAGACAAAUAAAUACAGACAGAACAGCGACUAAAAGGGGAGGAAGAGGAGGAAAGAGGACAAGGAAAACCGGAGAGGAGAGGAAGAGAUGGUUCCAGUGUGGAAAGUCAAGGGACGGAGGAGGAGCAGCCGGUUUGGAAGCAGGACUACAGUCGAUCCUUCUGAACGCCUAAAAGUCAUGUAGUGAGUGAAAACUGGAGCCACAAGGCAGAACUUGUUUUAUUCUGUAUUCUUCUUCUUCUUCUGUUGCGAUCUUUGUUAUCCUACAAGCCUGAUUCUACCGAGUAUAAUGGCAACUGCUGCGCUUCAAGAACUAACAACUCAGGAAAAAGUCUCACAUAUGACGUUGUUGCAGGUUGAGGAAAAACAAACAGAAGUGCAGGUCAGUAAGGAGGGAAAAUGCAGGGAAGAAGAGACGAUGCGAGAGGACCCUCACUCACAAUCUGCCAAAGAUAACAGGAACAUACUUAAAUCAUUAAAAAGAAUACAAAAAUUGCCUCGUUGCCUUUGUUUUUUUACUUAGUUUUUACUUGAAAAAAUACUUUAAAAAGUAACAAAUCAACAGAAAACAGUAGUGGUGGAAGUUUGAACUUGACUUGAUAGAGGGCAUAUCCAAAAUAAAACAGACUGAAUUAUGAAGUGUGCACAUUCAUUAAGCACACUGCAA
Siniperca chuatsi (mandarin fish) is the source of this 3923-nucleotide long non-coding RNA. RefSeq lists it as uncharacterized. The transcript is spliced from 2 exons. NCBI's taxonomy places the organism in Eukaryota, Metazoa, Chordata, Actinopteri, Centrarchiformes, Sinipercidae. The record is from RefSeq and is a predicted model, not a curated record.